This 64-nucleotide transfer RNA is filed under the name Petrolisthes armatus (green porcelain crab). RNAcentral's name for it is "tRNA-Cys". It matches the Rfam family "tRNA". Rfam says of the family: Transfer RNA (tRNA) molecules are approximately 80 nucleotides in length. Their secondary structure includes four short double-helical elements and three loops (D, anti-codon, and T loops). Further hydrogen bonds mediate the characteristic L-shaped molecular structure. tRNAs have two regions of fundamental functional importance: the anti-codon, which is responsible for specific mRNA codon recognition, and the 3' end, to which the tRNAs corresponding amino acid is attached (by aminoacyl-tRNA synthetases). tRNAs cope with the degeneracy of the genetic code in two manners: having more than one tRNA (with a specific anti-codon) for a particular amino acid; and 'wobble' base-pairing, i.e. permitting non-standard base-pairing at the 3rd anti-codon position. The record is from RNAcentral. Lineage: Eukaryota; Metazoa; Arthropoda; Malacostraca; Decapoda; Porcellanidae.
AGUUUUAUAGUAUAAUAAAUACGUUGGAUUGCAAAUCUAAAAAUGUGAGAAUUCACUAAAACUU